Molecule: long non-coding RNA, 1598 nt
Organism: Fukomys damarensis (Damara mole-rat)
Lineage: Eukaryota; Metazoa; Chordata; Mammalia; Rodentia; Bathyergidae
Source: Ensembl
AACACAUUCUCGUCCCACUUCAUUAUGCAGCCUUGGACUGAGUUGAAGUCCUCAGGACUUUGGACUUGGACUUACUCCAGCGGCCUUCCUGGCUCUUCGGCUUGUGGGCUGUGUACAAUAGUAAGGAGGCGCUUGGUUCCCUUAUCACAUUAGCCAGUUCUUAUGAUACAUCUGCUUUCUUACAUCAGUGUGGAUUCUGUUUCUCUGGAGGAUUUAGGUGCAUAGAGUCUCUACGCGGUGGCUUUACAGUGAUGAUGUUGAUACAGCUUCCCUCACCUCAUUUUUUACAACUGCAAUAAUUGUUCCCAGAAGUCACUACACGCGGUGAAGUCUGGGCUGACACCCUUUGAUGUGUCUCUCCCAUGAAAACUCGCCAUCCUCGCACAAGCACAGCAGCAGCAGCAGCAGCAGCAGCAGCAGCAGCAGCAGCAGCAGCAGCAGCAGCAGCAGCAGCAGCAGCAGCAGCAGCGAAGCACACUGCUGCACGCAGUGGUCAGGCGUUUCCCCCAGGAUGAAUGAGGCCACCGUGAGGAUCCAUCACUACCAUUUCCAACCCUUUCUUUGUUGGAGAUGAGCCACUGGCAGAUGGCCCUCCUCCACUGACAUGGUCUCGGAGUUGGAAAAUAGGUUUUCUACAAGAGUCAGAGAUUGGUAAUCAGGGGUAUUGUUUAUCUUUCUUUCUCCCUGUGAAGCUUUGUACCAUUUAGUUCCAGGACAGGUAGUUUAUCUUGGGUGAUUCCCAUUCCUUCCUCACAGAACAGCUUAAUCCAGGAUUGUUUUCAAGACUCCCAGGCUGUGGCAGGCUCUUGAGAUUUUUUUUUUCACAAUGUGCUUUAGCUCUAUGUGAAUGAAAUUCUUGGCUGAUGUCCUAUUAACGAGAUCCAGCAGUAUAAAGUUCCUAAACCACUAAAGCUAAUCAUCACAUUUCUCUUGUUUCUACAAGACUGGAAAGCUAAUUCUACCAGCUGUGAGUGGCAGAGACAAGGAAGAUCAUUUAUCUUAUCACAUUGAAGGGAAACCUGUCAAUGACAAUUCAGGAAAUGGAAAGCAAGCACGCAAUUGAGGUUACCAUUCUGUUGGGAAGGUGGGGAAUUUGUAGGGGCCUCCAUUUCAUUUCAGUGAUGUUAUUCUUCUAGUCAGAAACAUCUUCCUACUAACUUGCACAGGAUGAACAAGAUCAAGGUCAUGAGUCAAGCUUUAAGUGGCCUAAUGCACAGCCUUAACUUCAUCCAGUUUGUCACAUGGUGCUGUCCAACACAAGAGGGACACUGGCCAUUGAACAUGCAUGCACCCCUAAAAAUCUAGCUCUAACAUUAGAAAAGCAACCCAGAAACAAUGUGUUAGCAUUAUCUGCUCUGGAAGAAUGAACAUUUAUACAAAAAGCCACUCACGUUCUAUUUUGGGAUUAGUUUAACUGUGUUGUAGAACGCUCAGCAAUCAAUAAACAGUUCUCGUUUUCCCUUCACAAAUCUAUCUACCCUUUGGCCCUGAGACACUGAGUAAGGUACUUGAUAUUUCAGGCCCUGCAUCUUUUCAUUUGAAGUAUGGAGACAAAUAAAUGUAUAAAAAUCACUUAGUGUGUGUUUCUUAUACCUAGC